Molecule: non-coding RNA, 6235 nt
Organism: Rattus norvegicus (Norway rat)
Lineage: Eukaryota; Metazoa; Chordata; Mammalia; Rodentia; Muridae
Source: RefSeq, a predicted model, not a curated record
CACUCCAAGAUGUUAAUUAGCUGUUCAUUAAUGUCAGCUCCCCGUUCAAAGGAGAAAUAUGCACGGCCUGCCUGGUCUGAGCUCAUCGGGAGCUGAGCGAGAAGGGCGGCUGCCCAGUGGCUGCCCAGUCUGCUGGCCUCCCUCCUGCCUGCCAGCUCCCCCUUUGUCUCCCUCCUAUGCCAGUUCUAAGCACACCAAUUGCCAGGGAGACCCUGCACUCAGGAAGGAGGAGCUGGGCUGGGACCCAAUAUGCAGAAGGUCUGGGAGACCUGGGUAAAUCUGCUCACAGAUACUCAGUGCACAGAGGCCCCUACCCUGACUCUCACCAUAGCCUGGAUCUGAUGGAAACCAGCCUUUCUUCCUUCAAGCUAGCCUCAAACUCAGAGAUCUGCCAAUUUUAUUUAUUUUAUUUGUUUAAGUUCUCGCUUGCAUUUAUAUCUGGGCAUCACUGUGUACCUGCUGCCCACAGGGACAGAAAAGGGCAUCUGAUCCCCUGGAACUGGAGUUACAGAAGGUUGUCAGCCUUCAGGUGACGAGAAGUAAACCUGGGACCUUUGUAUAAAGAGCCAAUGUUCUUAAACACUGAGCUAUCUCUCCAGCCAGCCACUCCUCUUGACUUUUCCUUCCUUCCUUCCUUCCUUCCUUCCUUCCUUCCUUCCUCCCUCCCUCCCUCUCUCCCUUCCCUCUCUCUCCUCAUUCCUCUCCCUCCUCCUUUUCCUCCACCCGUCCACCUAUCCAUCAUCCAUCCAUCCAUCUACCCACCCCAUACAUCCAUCUAUCCAUCUAUCUACCCAUCCACCCACCCAUCCAUUCACCUACCCACCCAUCCAUCCUUCCAUCCACUGUAACAAUGUUAUAGCUCUCAUAUGCAUGCACACAUAUCUUUUUUGUACCCAUCAGCUUAUCCAGUCUUAAGUCUGUCUAUUCAUCUAUUAGUUGGUCCAUCAUCAUGCAUCCUUCCAUCUGUCUGUCUGCCCGCCUACCUCUAUAUUCAAACAUACUGCUUGAGCAGCCCGAACACCCUGGUCUCAGGUAGCAAUUCCCAAGGGUCGCAUGCAAGUUAUGACCACAGUGCACAUUACAGUUCCAGUGAACUCCUGCCCUUCCUUCAAGGCUACCCACACACCUUUAGCUGGGGAUGCGGAAGUAUGGAGCUAAGAGGCACACACAAACACAGAAGCCCAAAGAUGGCUUCCUGGAGGAGGUGUCAUUGAGACUGGACUGGGAAGGGGAACGAGGCCGGUGAGGCUCCCCGUGUGCACUUUGCUGCCUGCAGGAAGCUCCUUAGGGAGUAAAGACUCUAGGGUCCUUUCUGACAAGACGCAGCAUCGCUCUGAGGUAUGAGUGGACUUCGCCAUGUUUGGGAGGCAAAGAGUUAACUUGAGCUUACCUAAUUUUUUUCCCCAGUGACCAAGGGCAACCAGUGGCUCCUGGUUGCUGCUUGGACCCAAAGCCUGUCACAGUCUCUCAGGAUUCCCCAACAGCUGUUGCCUGGCAGAGAGGGCUGGUCCAAGCAGGAAUCCUAAUCCUCUGGAGUCCUCUGGAGUCCGGCUCCUCCCCCCCCCCCAUCUCUGUCUGAGGGUGGGGACUGGGGAGCAGUCCUCUGGGAUAGAGGUCUCUGCGGGUGCUGGAACCAGUUAGACAGCAGGCCACACGGCGCGUGGCAGGCAUUCUGGGAGUCUGUCCAGGCUCUGGUCUGGAGGCCAGUGUGCCCUGCCCUAGGACUGGUCUCUACUGCCAACACAGCUCUGUCAUCACUUUGGCCUGCUCUGGGAUGGUGAUACCCACCUCCAGCUCAGUGACCCAAUCAGCCUAAGGUCAAGCUCUGGACAUUCCCAGGGGACAAGAUGUUAGGAGUCAGAAAGAUGUGGGAUUGGUCACACCUCGGCCAGGCCACAAAGGGGUUCUGAGACCUCAGUUGAGUCAUUUCUAGCCUAGUGAAAUACGAUCCCGGCCACACCCACUUCCGCUCCUCUAUGAUCCCGGCCACACCCACUUCCGCUCCUCUAUGAUCCCGGCCACACCUAUUCUGCUCCUCAGCCGGUCCUCUCUUCCUUUUGCUCAGUGAUGCUUUCAAAUAGUCCAGGCUCUUUUAAACUGCCACGAUAGCUGAGGCUGGUCUUUGGAGUGCUGGGAUUAUAGAUGAGAGCCAUGCUGCCCAGCCUUAUAUUUCUUUACUUUUUAGGUUACAUUAUUCUGCUAUGGGUAGUCUUGGCUGAGACGGUGGCUCACACAGCAAAGUGUGUUCCACGAGAGCGAGAGAACCUGAGCUCAGACCCCAACACUCACAUGGGAAGCUGGGUGCGGUGGCUUGUGUCUCUAAUCUCAGCACUGUGGAGGAGACAGAUGCAUUUCUGGGGCUUGCUGGCCAGCCAGCCUAGUUGAAUUGGCGUGGUUCAAUGGAAGAUCUCGUCUCAAAAAGAAAGAUGGAGAUCAAUUAAGAAAGAUGGGGGCUGGGGAUUUAGCUCAGUGGUAGAGCGCUUACCUAGGAAGCGCAAGGCCCUGGGUUCGGUCCCCAGCUCCGAAAAAAAGAAAAAAAAAAAAAAAAAAGAAAGAAAGAUGGGCAAUGACAACUUCUAACCCCCCUCAUUCCUAUGUGUAUACACAUACAUGCCCACGUGUGUACACCCACAUAAGCAUACAUUUAUGCGGGUGCACACACACACAGAGUGUUGAAUUUAUGCUAUUUUUAACCCUGAGUGGCCGCCUAUCACACAAGGAUAUUACUCAUUCAAAUUUACUACAGUCCUGUAACUGGUACACAGCUGGUGCCUAGCAACAGCCAUCUCUUCACCCAGGAUCACUCAAGGACUUUAUCCACUGUCCCAUCCUCAAGUCCCACCUCUGGCGCUCGUACAGUAAGUCAUACAUAAUCCUGUUGGCACUAGGGUGACAUCUGUCAAGCAAAAGCUAGCUUUGGCUUCAGAAUGUCUCAUAGACCAAUGGGCAGGGCAGGGCAGGGAAGACCUUGCGUAUGAUCAGGAUACACAGGGCCAAGCUCAGUCAAGACGGAGUGGCCUUUGUGGCUCAGUCCAGGGGCAAGCAGUCUCUGCCCAGUGAGGGAGACAGAAAACUGGGAGAGAAGGACAACUCGAGAAUCAGAAGAAAGUUCCAGAAUGCAGGAGAGAUGGGUGGAGUGGGGGUGGGUGCAGUUUGAACAGCCUGUGAUCUUAAACACUAAGCCAUCUCUCCAACCACUUGGGUUGUGAUUCUUAAGGCGGACGUCUGUAGGAGACCCUGCCCUAGCUUACUCUUCCAUCCCGGACAUUUCUUCCCUAGACGCCCCCAAAAGCCGUAAUGCCUGUAGUUCGGUGGCUCUGAGGUAUAGAACACCUGCCUUCAUGGGUGACACAUUGGAAAAAAUCUCUGGGUUCAGAUCUUUAGUGCCACUUACAGGCCGUGUGGCUGUGACCCAGUUUCACCACCUCUCUGAUCUGCCUUCUCUUUUCAUAUUCUUCUGGAACCUCCUUCCCUCCUUUCUUCUCUCCCUCACUCCCUUUCUUCCUUGAGACAGGGUGUCCUGUGUAGCCCAGGGCAGCGUUCAACUCACUCCUCCGUAGCGAUCUUAAAUGUCUGAUCUUUCGGCUCCACCUCCGGGGUGCUGGGGUCACAGACAUGCAUCACCACACCUGGGUUCAUGUGGUUCUGGGGACCAAAGCAAGCCCUCUACCAAGAGAUGAGCCUCACUCUGUAGCCUAGGCUGACCUGAAACUCCCAGCAAUCCUGCUGUCUCAGCCUUCACAGGGCUGGAUGGAGGUGCAGUACCAUAUUCAUCCUUACUAGAGAUGUCGGUACAGAUUCGACUGGGCUUUUCUGGAGGUUCCCAUGGUGCCCUUGAAGAAAAUCCGGGCGGGGUUAUUGCCAGGGAGGUGGGACUGUCAGCAUCCCUGUAGGAUGGAGGCCCCAUUCGUGGAACUGAAGGUCAACCCUGGUCUCAGAUCUUGGGAGAGUUAAGUACCCCAAUCACUCAUCUUUUGGCCUAAAUGGCCCUAGGGGCUGCUUAUGAAUCAGGGAGUCAAACCAAUGUCCCAUCUUUAAAAAAAAAAACCACCAAAAACCAAUCAAUUUGCAGAAAUCCAAAUAAAAGCCAUUAGUUGUGGCUUCCCUACAGGAGACUCCUGGGGCUUCUUCCUCACCAGGCUCCCAGGAAAUUGAUUGGCAAUUACUGACACUAAUGGGGGCCAGGGAGGCCUGAUGGUCUCCCUCAUCUCCCCAGCGUUCUCUGGGGACAGGGAUGACAUGUCAAGAUCUGUCAGGCUGAGUCUGUCCAGGGGCAGCUAAGACCCCAGAUCUGGCCAGAGACAGGGCAGCCAGCUGGGGUGGGCCCCCCAGAGACCCUCACCCUCUUACUUAUUUAUGGCUCAGUUUGACUCAUGGUAACUUAAUGGUGUUACUGGGGUCGUGCAGAUGGUGAGUCUUGUGACUGGAGGAUGGUGCAGGUCCAUCGAAGCCUUCAGCACUGCCCUUUGACCUGUAUCUCGGAUCACAUAAAGGAGGCCUCAGUUCCCACAGGAAGUACAGGCCUGAGAGGGAAAAGCAGGCCAGCAGAGGGUAGGGACAAUAGUGGAGCAGAAUAUAGCUGGAAGAGUCAGUGGCUGGAGCCUGUGUGUAUGUGUGUGUGCGCGUGUGCAUGUGUAUGUGUGAUUGAGUAUGUAUGCAUGUGUGUAUGUGUGAGUGUGCAUAUGUGUGAGUGUGCACAUGUGUGAGUGUGUAUAUAUGUGCACGUGUGCAUGUGUACAUGUAUAUGUGUGUACACGUGUGCAUGUGUACAUAUGUGUGUAUGUGUCUGAGUGUAUGUAUAUGUGCAUGUGUAUGUGUGCACAUGUGUGAACGUGUGCAUGUGCACGUGUGUAUGUAUGUAUGUGCAUGUGUGUAUGUGUGUGCAUGUAAGUGUAUGUGUAUCUGUGUAUGUGUGUGAGUGUGUAUAUGUGUGUAUAUGUGCGUGUGUAUAUAUGUGUGCGUGUGUGCAUGUGUGUGUGCUCUCAUGUGCACGCUCAUGUGUGUUCGUUUAUCCAUUCGUUCCUUCCUUCCCUCCAUCCCUUACUCCUCUCCCUUGCUUCUCUCUUUGUAUCUCACUUUCUAACCCUGGCUGACAUGAAAUUAAUUAUACAAGCCAAGCUCUCCUUGAAUCUGUGCCUCUGCCUCCCAAGUGCUGGGAUGACAGGUGUAUACCACCACACCAGGCUUGGAGCUAGAAUUUUGAGGCUGAAUGAAAAGACUUUACAAGACAAGCAGGAAGAGGUACAAACCGGGAGCAGCCAUCUUCUAUUACAGAUGACACCUGUUCUCCGAGGCACAGGAGGAAAAGGCACUGCCUGACAUCUCACAAUUGGGACCAUGGAGGGAAAGCUGGACGCUCCCAUCUCCAUCCAUCCGCCCGCGGUGCCGCUCCGAGCUCCUGGCCCCGCUUCAUUCACAGUCUCUCUGGAAACCCUGAACAACAGCCCGGCAAGCAGAACGGAUUCUGGAGUCUUAGACAGUCUUUGGAGCUACACAUGGUUUCCAGGACUAAGAAACUGCUUCCAAAAUGCCCAACUGCCUUCAGAAUCUUUGAACAGCCCCCAAGGCGUGGGCUGAACUUGAGCAUUGAAGAGGGGGAAAGGAGCCAAGGGGUGCUCAAGCCAGCCUUCCUUGAGGCUCCCCACAUAUGCUGGUGCAUCCAGCUGGGGCCAAGCAGCCAGCCACACCUCAGGUUUACCUGAGGUGAGCCAUAUGAAGACCUCUGAUGGGUAGAGACUCUGAGUCAGGGUCUCAGAGGACACGGUGUGGUCAUGUUGUGACAGAAACCUUGGUAAAAUCACUUCUGUUCUCUGGGCCACAGUCUCUGUUUAUAUAGUAGGGUUUCUGUGGGAGGUUUUGGGGUGUUUGAAGCCAGGAGUCAGGGGGUUCACACUCUGCCUUAGUCGGCCUGGGCUCCAAAGGUAGUGGUCAGGGAAAGAUGCAGUUUGACCCCAGAGAGGUCACACAGGGGGCUACAGUUAGGCCCUUGCCACAGAGCUCCACGCCUGUGGACCCAGGCUGACCUGUGACACAGACUGACCGUUCCACUCUGUGUGAGACUGGGUUUAGCCUUUCUUCCUCCAAGAGUGCCUCUGGGGUACCCCACACAGCUGGCAGCCUUCACAUGCAGCCACAGAGGGCAGCAUCUGCAGCCACCCAGAGCUGUCUCCAUAGUGACAGCCCCAGAGCCAAGCCUGGUGUUUGAAAAAACACUCAUAAAGGAACAACAAAACGU